This 485-nucleotide ribosomal RNA is filed under the name uncultured bacterium. Its description in RNAcentral is "bacterial SSU rRNA". It matches the Rfam family "Bacterial small subunit ribosomal RNA", at positions 28 to 524 of the family's 1533-position model. The record is from RNAcentral.
GAUGAACGCUAGCGGCAGGCUUAAUACAUGCAAGUCAAGGGGGUAGCAAUACAACCGGCGCACGGGUGAGUAACGCGUACACAACAUACCAUAUACUGGGGUAUAGCUUUGGGAAACUGAAGGUAAUCCCCCAUAACAUUGCGAGAGGGCAUCUGAUUGCAAUUAAAGUUUCGGCGGUAUAUGAUUGGUGUGCGUUUGAUUAGCUAGUUGGUAGGGUAACUGCCUACCAAGGCGACGAUCAAUAGCUGGCGUGAGAGCGCGACCAGCCACACUGGAACUGAGACACGGUCCAGACUCCUACGGGAGGCAGCAGUAGGGAAUAUUGGACAAUGGGCGCAAGCCUGAUCCAGCCAUGCCGCGUGAUAGAUGAAGGCCCUCUGGGUUGUAAAUAUCUUUUACCUGGGAAGAAACUCCUCUAUUCUUAGAGGCCUGACGGUACCAGAGGAAUAAGCACCGGCUAACUCCGUGCCAGCAGCCGCGGUAAU